AGCCGUGCGGUGAGCAUAGAGCGAACUAUUCUUUCGCCCCUUACUUAAGAAUACUGUGUGUGUUCAUCGCUUAAAGCAGCAUACGCCUGUUUUGGAGGGUAUUUCUUAAGUGAGUGCC
Molecule: small nuclear RNA, 118 nt
Organism: Malus domestica (apple)
Lineage: Eukaryota; Viridiplantae; Streptophyta; Magnoliopsida; Rosales; Rosaceae
Product: U5 spliceosomal RNA
Source: RefSeq, a predicted model, not a curated record